CCUACGGGGGGCAGCAGUGGGGAAUAUUGCACAAUGGGGGGAACCCUGAUGCAGCGACGCCGCGUGGGUGAAGGAGUAUUUCGGUAUGUAAAGCCCUAUCAGCAGGGAAGAACAAUGACGGUACCUGACUAAGAAGCACCGGCUAAAUACGUGCCAGCAGCCGCGGUAAUACGUAGGGGGCAAGCGUUAUCCGGAUUUACUGGGUGUAAAGGGAGCGUAGGUGGCAUGGUAAGCCAGAAGUGAAAACCCAGGGCUCAACUCUGCGGAUUGCUUUUGGAACUAUCAAGCUAGAGUGCUGGAGGGGG
Molecule: ribosomal RNA, 305 nt
Filed under: uncultured bacterium
Lineage: Bacteria
Description: bacterial SSU rRNA
Rfam family: Bacterial small subunit ribosomal RNA
Source: RNAcentral